GGCAAGUAGCAUUGCGCUUUGCGUCAGAGAAUCGAAAAGAUUUAAGUAGAUCGAUUUCUCAUUUUCCACACCUAUUAGGCUUCUUUUUUUCGAGUGUAUGCUCAUACAUCUACAUGUACGUAUACAAUUAGCAGCUUCCUCUCGACUUAUUUUAUUAAUUGAGCUGCAAAAAGUUGAGCCCCUAUAACCCAACCAGAACCCAGUCCACUCCACUCUCAGCACAGCUGCCAGCAUACUCCAAUCUAAAACUCCCCCUAGGAGAGAGCAGACGACAACACACCGCUGUAGGGCAGACACCAGGAGCCAGGAGCCAGGAGCCAGGAGCAACAGGAAACCGAGCCAAAGUUCGUCGAGUCACAGUCGAAGUCAUGGCAACGUAUGGAAAUCCCCAUGUGCGUGUGUACACAAAAGUUGCUCUGGGAAUUGCCUGGAUGGAAGGAGGAGCGGGGGCGCACAGAAACAAAACCGCAGGAGGCUCUGAGGCAGAGCUGGGAUUGGAGCGAACCAAAGCCGAAGAGCAGAUAGAGAGAGAGAGGGAGAGAGAGGAAUGCUACGAAUAAAAUUUCAUUAAAUACACC
Molecule: long non-coding RNA, 578 nt
Filed under: Drosophila guanche
Lineage: Eukaryota; Metazoa; Arthropoda; Insecta; Diptera; Drosophilidae
Source: RNAcentral